RNAcentral lists this ribosomal RNA (406 nucleotides) under uncultured bacterium. Its description in RNAcentral is "partial 16S ribosomal RNA". It matches the Rfam family "Bacterial small subunit ribosomal RNA", at positions 30 to 526 of the family's 1533-position model. The record is from RNAcentral.
AUUGAACGCUAGAGGGAUGCCUUACACAUGCAAGUCGAACGGAGUGGCGCACGGGUGAGUAAUGUAUCGGAACGUGACCAGUAGCGGGGGAUAACUACGCGAAAGCGUCGCUAAUACCGCCUACUAUUGGAGCGGCCGAUAUCGGAUUAGAUAGUUGGUGGGGAAACGGCUCACCAAGGCGACGAUCCGUAGCUGGUUUGAGAGGACGACCAGCCACACUGGGACUGUGCCUCGGCCCAGACUCCUACGGGAGGCAGCAGUUGGGAAUUUUCGACAAGGGGUAAACCCUGAUCCAGCCAUCCCGCGUGUACGAUGAAGGCCUUCGGGUUGUAAAGCACUUUUGGCAGGAAAGCGGUACCUGCAGAAUAAGCACCGGCUAACUACGUUCCAGCAGCCGCGGUAAUAC